UCUCGAUAAACGAACCGAGCUCGUUUAUCAGAAUUUCGAGAACGAGCUUGUGUUUUCUAUAUUUAUAUAGAAUUACGAGUGCAAUGAAAGUGAGUAGAGGUUGAGAGGGCGAGUAACGAAGAGUAUGGGUAGUUAGUCGUUAAAACGAGACGAAACGAGAUAUUUAACGACUAACGGGUUAAUAUCCUAAAUAUCUAACCUACCCUACCCCUAACCACCCCCCCAACUGCCCACUAUCCCUCUAUCUCACCUAACUCACGUUGAUUUUCAGCCCACACACAACUCACACACACUAACACCUAAAACACACACACCAUUCACGCAUAUACCAUUUUUAGCUUGAGCUCAAGCUUUUGAGCUCCGUUUUGAGCGAGAAGACGAGCCCCGAUCAUCUUUUCGAACACGUAUCUAAGUAGGUCCUUUUGGGAAGUAACGACUUGAGGGAGAGAGUGACGUUACUCAUUGAUACAGAGACACAACGAGGUUGAGCUGAUGUGAUGAUGGUGCUGCAAUGAGCGGAGUCUCCAGGGUUGUUAAUAAAUAGUUAACCUGUCUAGAAUAUGUCUUCAUACAUAUGUCUAGCUACUUUCCGCUGCAAGAUGUUGUUGAUGUUAUAGUAUGUUAUGUCAUACUUUGAGUCUUAAGAGAAUGGUUUCAUACGAUGUAUAACUUGAUUAAUGAUAUUAAUUAAGUUUUAUGCUGUCUUUCAUAGACUGUUUUCAAUUGAGUAUUAAUGAAUAAAAAUGACGAGUUUUAUUAA
Molecule: long non-coding RNA, 760 nt
Organism: Salvia miltiorrhiza (redroot sage)
Lineage: Eukaryota; Viridiplantae; Streptophyta; Magnoliopsida; Lamiales; Lamiaceae
Exons: 3
Source: RefSeq, a predicted model, not a curated record